AGUGAACGCUGGCGGUAGGCCUAACACAUGCAAGUCGAACGGCAGCACAGUAAGAGCUUGCUCUUACGGGUGGCGAGUGGCGGACGGGUGAGGAAUACAUCGGAAUCUACUUUUUCGUGGGGGAUAACGUAGGGAAACUUACGCUAAUACUGCAUACGACCUACGGGUGAAAGCAGGGGAUCUUCGGACCUUGCGCGAUUGAAUGAGCCGAUGUCGGAUUAGCUAGUUGGCGGGGGAAAGGCCCACCAGGGCGACGAUCGGUAGCUGGUGUGAGAGGAUGGUCAGCCGCACUAGAAGUGAAACGCGAUCAUGGCUCCUACGGGAGGCGGCAGUGGUGAAUAUUCGACAUCGGGGGGGAGCCUGUUCCAUCCGUACCGAGUGGGUGACGGAGGCGUUCGGUUUGUAAUGCCCUUUUGUGGGUAGAGAACAGCUGAAGCUUGAUACCCAGCUGUUGUGACGGUACCCAAUGAAUAAGCACCGGCUAACUUCGUG
This 492-nucleotide ribosomal RNA is filed under the name uncultured bacterium. Its description in RNAcentral is "partial 16S ribosomal RNA". It matches the Rfam family "Bacterial small subunit ribosomal RNA", at positions 29 to 507 of the family's 1533-position model. The record is from RNAcentral.